AAGAUAUUAGUAAAAUCAUUACAUAACUUUGUCGAAGUUAAUUUAUAGGUUAAACCCCUUUAUAUCUUU
RNAcentral lists this transfer RNA (69 nucleotides) under Romerolagus diazi (volcano rabbit). RNAcentral's name for it is "tRNA-Asp". Lineage: Eukaryota; Metazoa; Chordata; Mammalia; Lagomorpha; Leporidae. The record is from RNAcentral.